RNAcentral lists this ribosomal RNA (499 nucleotides) under uncultured bacterium. RNAcentral's name for it is "partial 16S ribosomal RNA". It matches the Rfam family "Bacterial small subunit ribosomal RNA", at positions 29 to 523 of the family's 1533-position model. The record is from RNAcentral.
AUUGAACGCUGGCGGAAUGCUUUACACAUGCAAGUCGAGCGGCAGCGCGGGGCAACCUGGCGGCGAGCGGCGAACGGGUGAGUAAUACAUCGGAACGUACCCUGUCGUGGGGGAUAACGAGUCGAAAGAUUCGCUAAUACCACAUACGACCUGAGGGUGAAAGCGGGGGAUCGCAAGACCUAGCGCGAUAGGAGCGGCCGAUGGAGGAUGAGCUAGUUGGUGAGGUAAAGGCUCACCAAGGCGACGAUCCGUAGCGGGUCUGAGAGUGACGACCCGCCACACUGGAACUGAGACACGGUCCAGACUCCUACGGGAGGCAGCAGUGGGGAAUUUUGGACAAUGGGGGCAACCCUGAUCCAGCCAUUCCGCGUGAGUGAAGAAGGCCUUCGGGUUGUAAAGCUCUUUCGGCAGGAACGAAACGGUCCUUUCUAAUACAGAGGGCUAAUGACGGUACCUGAAGAAGAAGCACCGGCUAACUACGUGCCAGCAGCCGCAGUAA